GUAGGUGGCAAGCGUUGUCCGGAAUUAUUGGGCGUAAAGCGCGCGCAGGCGGUUCUUUAAGUCUGAUGUGAAAGCCCACGGGCUCAACCGUGGAGGGUCAUUGGAAACUGGAGAACUUGAGUACAGAAGAGGAAAGCGGAAUUCCACGUGUAGCGGUGAAAUGCGUAGAGAUGUGGAGGAACACCAGUGGCGAAGGCGGCUUUCUGGUCUGUAACUGACGCUGAGGCGCGAAAGCGUGGGGAGCAAACAGGAUUAGGUACCCUGGUAGUCCACGCCGUAAACGAUGAGUGCUAAGUGUUAGGGGGUUUCCGCCCCUUAGUGCUGCAGCUAACGCAUUAAGCACUCCGCCUGGGGAGUACGGCCGCAAAGGCUG
RNAcentral lists this ribosomal RNA (373 nucleotides) under uncultured organism. RNAcentral's name for it is "partial 16S ribosomal RNA". It matches the Rfam family "Bacterial small subunit ribosomal RNA", at positions 527 to 896 of the family's 1533-position model. The record is from RNAcentral.